GUUUAUACUGACACUGGAGAAAUAUAUAUAUGUGCGUAAUGGUUACAAUUUGGGUAAACCAAAACUCACUCUUGCUGUAAUGGCCAAUGGUUGCAAAGCAUGCUCUAAUUAGACCUCUAAAAUAUACUUAAUAUUAAUUCACAUCUAUAAUAACAUGAUAAGAUUUUGAUGCUCAUCUCAUCUGUUCAACAAACUCUAAGCAAAUGAUCAGAACUCACAUCUCCGGACUCCCCGGUUGUACUGCUCUCCGACUCCAAUUGUGGUGCCCCAUUAAUCGACACAGUGCUAGAGCUGCCACUGGUUUCCAAGUUAUUUCUAAUCAAAUUUGGCUUAAGUUUUUGAGGUGUGGUUGCAGCUAUCACAACUUCAGCUGGGAAAUUCAGGAGGGCCUUAGAGCCACGCAUACUAAAAGCCGCCCUAUCAUAAGCCAAAGCAGCCUCCUCCGCCGUCUCGAACGUACCUAGCCAUACACGAGCACCAUGUCGUGUGGAGUCGCGAAUUUCAGCUGCGUAUUUGCCCCAGGGACGACGCCUCACUCCCCUGUAGUGCUUCUUGGCUAUGGUCUUCGCCGGUUGGAACAUGUUUGAUGCGUUAAUCUGGUUUAUUCUUUGUGGCAUAUGUGAACUAUUGGGUGGUGUGGCUUCGUUUAUCAUUUGGUAUAUGACCAUGUCUUGUGAGUCAUUCUCAUUAAAUGGAAGCUCAUUUUGAGAGGUUAGAACCAUGUGUUUUCGAUUCUCCAUGGCCUGGAGGAAGACUAAAGAAUGAAGCUUGUGGAAAAUGGAUUCAAGAUUUGGAUAGAAACUUUGGAAUAUAUGAGAGAGGCUGAUGAGGAUUCUUGGAAUUUUAUUUGUAGGAACCAAGGAAGGUGGAAGGAAAGUGAU
Molecule: unclassified non-coding RNA, 881 nt
Filed under: Hevea brasiliensis (rubber tree)
Lineage: Eukaryota; Viridiplantae; Streptophyta; Magnoliopsida; Malpighiales; Euphorbiaceae
Source: RNAcentral